GAUGAACGCUGGCGGCGUGCCUAACACAUGCAAGUCGAACGGGAUGCGUAUUGGAAAGCUUCGGCCGGAAGAUACGUUAUCUAGUGGCGGACGGGUGAGUAACACGUGGGUAACCUGCCUUAUGGAGGGGGAUAACAGAGAGAAAUCACUGCUAAUACCGCAUAAGCACACAGUACCGCAUGGUACAGGGUGAAAAGAUUUAUCACCAUAAGAUGGACCCGCGUCUGAUUAGCCAGUUGGCAGGGUAAAAGCCUACCAAAGCAACGAUCAGUAGCCGAUCUGAGAGGAUGACCGGCCACAUUGGGACUGAGACACGGCCCAAACUCCUACGGGAGGCAGCAGUGGGGAAUAUUGCACAAUGGGGGAAACCCUGAUGCAGCGACGCCGCGUGAGUGAAGAAGUAUUUCGGUAUGUAAAGCUCUAUCAGCAGGGAAGAUAAUGACAGUACCUGACUAAGAAGCCCCGGCUAACUACGUGCCAGCAGCCGCGGUAAUACGUAGGGGGCAAGCGUUAUCCGGAUUUACUGGGUGUAAAGGGAGCGUAGACGGAGUGGCAAGUCUGAAGUGAAAACCCUGGGCUUAACCUGGGGACUGCUUUGGAAACUGUUAAUCUAGAGUGUUGGAGAGGUAAGUGGAAUUCCUGGUGUAGCGGUGAAAUGCGUAGAUAUCAGGAAGAACACCGGAGGCGAAGGCGGCUUACUGGACAAUAACUGACGUUGAGGCUCGAAAGCGUGGGGAUCAAACAGG
RNAcentral lists this ribosomal RNA (746 nucleotides) under uncultured Oribacterium sp. RNAcentral's name for it is "bacterial SSU rRNA". It matches the Rfam family "Bacterial small subunit ribosomal RNA", at positions 28 to 776 of the family's 1533-position model. The record is from RNAcentral. Lineage: Bacteria; Bacillati; Bacillota; Clostridia; Lachnospirales; Lachnospiraceae.